This 586-nucleotide long non-coding RNA is filed under the name Rattus norvegicus (Norway rat). RNAcentral's name for it is "long non-coding RNA NONRATT031905". The record is from RNAcentral. Lineage: Eukaryota; Metazoa; Chordata; Mammalia; Rodentia; Muridae.
GUCAGAGUUGUGGGCGGGGCCCUGGCGGCGGGCGGGGUUCCCCUCCUCCUUCCCCUCUCCUCCGAGCCCAGCACACUUUGGUGCUCUCCUCCGAGCCCAGCACACUUUUGGCUGCAGCUUUGGUGCUUGGAGCCGAGUGAGGUCAGUCCUGGAACCUGCGUUGUGGGAAUCCCGCUUGGGAGGAAACAUUCCAUUUGGGGGGUAUGGGGGACACACACCUGUAAUCCCAGCACCCGAGAGACAGAAAAACUUGGAGUUCAAGGCCAGCCUGGGCUGCACAGUGAGACUCUGUCUCAGAAAGCCAAACGUCAAGGUGAGUAAGUUCACGUAUCGUGACAGCUGUAGGGUGAAGUGUCAUAGUGACACCCCUUGCUUUUGUAGGCUUACUUUUCAGUUUUUAAUUUUUUUAGAAAGCCCAAACACAGGAAGUCCAACAAGGAAGCAAAAUCACACAUAGUGGAAACUGCCCAAGAGAAAGGUGACGUGUAGCAAGAAAAAAACCUGUGUGUGAUGGUUUCUAUUCAUUUGGAAAGCUAGCGCUGUGCCUUCCGAUUCAUUUUUAUUUAAAUGCUACCAUGGCUGGGCC